AAUAAAUAUAAUUUUACAAUGUUUUAUGUCCAACGUUUAACCGUUUCUCUUAUUUGAAAAUUUUUUAUGAUUGGUAGUGUUUUUUAUUGUUAUUUGAUUAUAAAACAUGAAUAUUACUUCAUAUGUGACUAUUUUUUUCUAUUUUUUUCAUAAGUUUUUCAAAUAAGACGGAGGGUCAAACGCUGGGCACGGAGACCCACGGCUGCACUUAUU
Molecule: non-coding RNA, 213 nt
Organism: Oryza glaberrima (African rice)
Lineage: Eukaryota; Viridiplantae; Streptophyta; Magnoliopsida; Poales; Poaceae
Source: Rfam